GACGAACGCUGGCGGCGUGCUUAACACAUGCAAGUCGACGAGCGGCGAACGGGUGAGUAACGCGUGAGUAACCUGCCCCCUCUCUGGGAUAACAGUUGGAAACGGAUGCUAAUACCGGAUAGUGGGGGAUGGACUCGCGUCCUAUCAGCUUGUAGGUGGGGUAGUGGCCUCCCAAGGCGACGACGGGUAGCCGGCCUGAGAGGGCGACCGGCCACAUUGGGACUGAGAUACGGGCCAAUCUCCUACGGGAGGCAGCGGUGGGGAAGAGUGCUCAGUGGGCGCAAGCCGGAUGCAGCGACGCCGCUUGAGGGAGGGAGGCCUUCGGGUUGUCAACCUCUUUCGCCAGGGAAGCGGUAGCUGGAUAAGAAGCGCCGGCUAACUACGUGCCAGCAGCCGCGGUAAUAC
RNAcentral lists this ribosomal RNA (405 nucleotides) under uncultured bacterium. RNAcentral describes it as "partial 16S ribosomal RNA". It matches the Rfam family "Bacterial small subunit ribosomal RNA", at positions 28 to 526 of the family's 1533-position model. The record is from RNAcentral.